This 253-nucleotide ribosomal RNA is filed under the name uncultured bacterium. RNAcentral describes it as "partial 16S ribosomal RNA". It matches the Rfam family "Bacterial small subunit ribosomal RNA", at positions 524 to 776 of the family's 1533-position model. The record is from RNAcentral.
UACGUAGGGGGCUAGCGUUGUCCGGAUUUAUUGGGCGUAAAGAGCGUGUAGGCGGCCAUGUAGGUCCGGUGUGAAAACUCGAGGCUUAACCUCGAGAUGUCAUCGGAAACCAUUUGGCUAGAGUCCGGAAGAGGAGAGUGGAAUUCCCGGUGUAGCGGUGAAAUGCGUAGAUAUCAGGAGGAACACCCGUGGCGAAGGCGGCUCUCUAUCUCGAUUCUGACGCUGAGGCGCGAAAGCCAGGGGAGCAAACGGG